UUUACGAUAUCCAAUAGAUAUGAGAAACUCUUGUAAACUUUUUAUGAUCGAUUUAGUUUUUCGUUAUUUUAAAUUUAAUUAGAUAAUAAAUUAUUACAAGAAUAUUAAUAAUACAUUUGCUAAGUACUCUAGACUAAUAAAAGUGUUUUGGUAAAGCCCCUAUGAUAUUGAACCAGCGAUGGAUAGAGCACUUUAUUAACUUGAAUAUAAUAUGUUCAUGUCUAUAGAUUGAUGUAACUUAGAUAUAAUAUGUUCAUGUCUAUAGAUUAAUGUAACUUAGAUAUAAUAUGUGAUACUUGAUUCUUACGUAGACAAGAGCACUUCAUGAUUAUUUUGGUACGAACAACAUGAAACAAUAGGUUUUUAGGUGUUCUCAAAAAAAAAAACAAUAGGUUUUAGCAACAACAAAGAAAACAUGAAUUAAAGGCAAGGGCAACCUAAUAAGAGCUUUGUUCGCGUGAGGUAUAUUUUGUGUUUCUUAAUUGAGAACCACCACGUGUUUUAAAUGUAAAAGUUAGGCAAAAACUUGCUACUUGCAGUUUCUCCACACGUCUAUCAAACUAUUGGUAGCAUUAGAAUCUUCUCUUUUUCGUACUUUUGUUUUUCUCUUUUUGGCUCUUUUGCUUAUCUUUCCUGUCUGUACCACACUAAAACUUAUCUUUUCUGUCCUUUAUUAUCUUUAAACGUCUGUUGUCGAUC
Molecule: long non-coding RNA, 699 nt
Filed under: Brassica rapa (field mustard)
Lineage: Eukaryota; Viridiplantae; Streptophyta; Magnoliopsida; Brassicales; Brassicaceae
Description: long non-coding RNA (BRAP_LNC001355)
Source: RNAcentral